UGCAGUCGAGCGGAAGGCCCUUCGGGGUACUCGAGCGGCGAACGGGUGAGUAACACGUGAGUAACCUGCCCUAGGCUUUGGGAUAACCCUCGGAAACGGGGGCUAAUACCGAAUAUUCAUUUCUGGCGGCAUCGUCGGGGGUGGAAAGUUUUUCGGCCUGGGAUGGGCUCGCGGCCUAUCAGCUUGUUGGUGGGGUGAUGGCCUACCAAGGCGACGACGGGUAGCCGGCCUGAGAGGGCGACCGGCCACACUGGGACUGAGACACGGCCCAGACUCCUACGGGAGGCAGCAGUGGGGAAUAUUGCACAAUGGGCGGAAGCCUGAUGCAGCGACGCCGCGUGAGGGAUGAAGGCCUUCGGGUUGUAAACCUCUUUCGACAGGGACGAAGCGCAAGUGACGGUACCUGGAGAAGAAGCGCCGGCCAACUACGUGCCAGCAGCCGCGGUAAGACGUAGGGCGCGAGCGUUGUCCGGAUUUAUUGGGCGUAAAGAGCUCGUAGGCGGCUUGUUGCGUCAGCUGUGAAAACCCGCAGCUCAACUGUGGGCUUGCAGCUGAUACGGGCAGGCUUGAGUUCGGUAGGGGAGACUGGAAUUCCUGGUGUAGCGGUGAAAUGCGCAGAUAUCAGGAGGAACACCGGUGGCGAAGGCGGGUCUCUGGGCCGAUACUGACGCUGAGGAGCGAAAGCGUGGGGAGCGAACAGGAUUAGAUACCCUGGUAGUCCACGCUGUAAACGUUGGGCGCUAGGUGUGGGGGGCCUCUCCGGUUCUCUGUGCCGCAGCUAACGCAUUAA
RNAcentral lists this ribosomal RNA (790 nucleotides) under Dactylosporangium sp. RNAcentral describes it as "bacterial SSU rRNA". It matches the Rfam family "Bacterial small subunit ribosomal RNA", at positions 56 to 863 of the family's 1533-position model. The record is from RNAcentral. Lineage: Bacteria; Bacillati; Actinomycetota; Actinomycetes; Micromonosporales; Micromonosporaceae.